Molecule: ribosomal RNA, 119 nt
Organism: Pteropus vampyrus (large flying fox)
Lineage: Eukaryota; Metazoa; Chordata; Mammalia; Chiroptera; Pteropodidae
Source: Ensembl
GUCUAUGGCCAUGCCACCCUGAUCACGCCCAAUCUCAUCUGAUCUCAGAAGCUAACCAGGGUUGGGCUUGGUUAGUACUUGGAUGGGAGACCAUCUAGGAAUAUCAGAUGCUAUAGAUU